AUACGGAGGGUGCAAGCGUUGUCCGGAUUUAUUGGGGUUAAAGGGUGUGUAGGCGGUGUAUUAAGUCAGUGGUGAAAGCCUGCGGCUCAACCGUAGAACUGCCAUUGAUACUGACACACUUGAGGAUGGACGAGGUAGGCGGAAUUUAUGGUGUAGCGGUGAAAUGCAUAGAUACCAUAAAGAACACCGAUAGCGAAGGCAGCUUACUAGGCCAUAACUGACGCUGAGGCACGAAAGCGUGGGGAGCGAACAGGAUUAGAAACCCUAGUAGUCC
RNAcentral lists this ribosomal RNA (274 nucleotides) under uncultured bacterium. RNAcentral describes it as "partial 16S ribosomal RNA". It matches the Rfam family "Bacterial small subunit ribosomal RNA", at positions 523 to 796 of the family's 1533-position model. The record is from RNAcentral.